AUUGAACGCUGGCGGCAUGCUUUACACAUGCAAGUCGAACGGUAACAGGCCUUCGGGUGCUGACGAGUGGCGCACGGGUGAGUAAUGCAUCGGAACGUGCCCAGAGGUGGGGGAUAACGCAGCGAAAGCUGUGCUAAUACCGCAUGUGAUCUGAGGAUGAAAGCGGGGGACCAGGCAGCAAUGUUUGGCCUCGCGCCUUUGGAGCGGCCGAUGUCAGAUUAGGUAGUUGGUGGGGUAAAGGCGUACCAAGCCGACGAUCUGUAGCUGGUCUGAGAGGACGACCAGCCACACUGGGACUGAGACACGGCCCAGACUCCUACGGGAGGCAGCAGUGGGGAAUUUUGGACAAUGGGCGCAAGCCUGAUCCAGCAAUGCCGCGUGCGGGAAGAAGGCCUUCGGGUUGUAAACCGCUUUUGUACGGAACGAAAAGGCUCUGGCUAAUACCUGGGGCUGAUGACGGUACCGUAAGAAUAAGCACCGGCUAACUACGUG
This 492-nucleotide ribosomal RNA is filed under the name uncultured bacterium. RNAcentral's name for it is "partial 16S ribosomal RNA". It matches the Rfam family "Bacterial small subunit ribosomal RNA", at positions 30 to 507 of the family's 1533-position model. The record is from RNAcentral.